GGGCGUAAGGGUGCGUAGGCGGUUUGAUAAGUCAUCUGUGAAAUCUAUGGGCUCAACCCAUAGUCUGCAGGCGAAACUGUCGGGCUUGAGUAUUGGAGAGGUGAGUGGAAUUUCCGGUGUAGCGGUGAAAUGCGUAGAUAUCGGAAGGAACACCUGUGGCGAAAGCGGCUCACUGGACAAUAACUGACGCUGAGGCACGAAAGCUAGGGGAGCAAACAGGAUUAGAUACCCUGGUAGUCCUAGCCCUAAACGAUGAUUGCUUGGUGUAGCAGGUACCCAAUCCUGCUGUGCCGAAGCUAACGCGAUAAGCAAUCCGCCUGGGGAGUACGGUCGCAAGGCUGAAAUUCAAAGGAAUUGACGGGGGCCCGCACAAGCGGUGGAGCAUGUGGUUUAAUUCGACGCAACGCGAAGAACCUUACCUGGGCUCGAAAUGUACAUGAAUCCGGCAGAAACGUCGGCGUCUAGCAAUAGACAUGUAUAUAGGUGCUGCAUGGCUGUCGUCAGCUCGUGUCGUGAGAUGUUGGGUUAAGUCCCGCAACGAGCGCAACCCUUAUCUUCAGUUGCUACCAUUUAGUUGAGCACUCUGACGAAACCGCCUCGGAUAACGGGGAGGAAGGUGGGGGAUGACGUCAAGUCCUCAUGGCCUUUUAUGUCCAGGGCUACACACGUGCUACAAUGGGCCGGUACAAACCGCUGCAAACCCGCGAGGGGGAGCUAAUCGGAAAAGCCGGCCUCAGUUCGGGAUUGGAGUCUGCACUCGACUCCAUGAAGCUGGAAUCGCUAGUAAUCGUGGAUCAGCAUGCCACGGUGAAUACGUUCCCCGGGCCUUGUACUCACCGCCCGUC
Molecule: ribosomal RNA, 845 nt
Filed under: uncultured bacterium
Lineage: Bacteria
Description: bacterial SSU rRNA
Rfam family: Bacterial small subunit ribosomal RNA
Source: RNAcentral